Molecule: long non-coding RNA, 350 nt
Filed under: Gallus gallus (chicken)
Lineage: Eukaryota; Metazoa; Chordata; Aves; Galliformes; Phasianidae
Description: lncRNA (ENSGALG00010016237.1)
Source: RNAcentral
CAGGGCCUCAGGAAGGAUACAGUGAGUCUGGGACUUGCAGAACUCAUUGUCUCUAGAACUGCAGUUGCUGAGACAUUUCAAUGCUUUAAACCAGUGCUUUUGUUUUGUCUGCAGAAAGGAAAAUUACACUUUUAGCUUAAGGUUUGAUAUGUCAGUCUUAAUACUCCAUGUGAUUUACUGAUUCCUUCAUUUCUAUGAAGUUACAGAAGACCUGAAGAUAUCAGUGCAUCCCAGAUGAUGGAGGUCUUAAAGAUCCAGACUCUUAAAAUAUCAACCAGAGCCCCUAAAAGCACUGCUGGCCUCAGAAGUUUGUGGUUGCAUUAUAAUUUCCUGUAACACCUUUUUCCCAG